Molecule: ribosomal RNA, 439 nt
Filed under: uncultured bacterium
Lineage: Bacteria
Description: partial 16S ribosomal RNA
Rfam family: Bacterial small subunit ribosomal RNA
Source: RNAcentral
CUACGGGUUGCUCCAGUGGGGAAUAUUGCACGAUGGAGGAAACUCUGAUGCAGCAACGCCGCGUGGAGGAUGACACUUUUCGGAGCGUAAACUCCUUUUAUAUAGGAAGAAGAUGACGGUACUAUAUGAAUAAGCGCCGGCUAACUCCGUGCCAGCAGCCGCGGUAAUACGGAGGGCGCAAGCGUUACUCGGAAUCACUGGGCGUAAAGAGCGUGUAGGCGGAUUAAAAAGUCAGAAGUGAAAUCCUAUAGCUUAACUAUAGAACUGCUUCUGAAACUCUUAAUCUAGAAUGUGGGAGAGGUAGAUGGAAUUUCUGGUGUAGGGGUAAAAUCCGUAGAGAUCAGAAGGAAUACCGAUUGCGAAGGCGAUCUACUAGAACAUUAUUGACGCUGAGACGCGAAAGCGUGGGGAGCAAACAGGAUUAGAUACCCUUGUAGUC